CUUGAAAAAUUAUAAGAGGUCCAGCCUGCCCAGUGAUAUUAUUUAACGGCCGCGGUACCCUGACCGUGCGAAGGUAGCAUAAUCACUUGUUCUCUAAAUAGGGACUAGUAUCAACGGCAUCACGAGGGUUAUACUGUCUCCUCUUUUUAAUCAGUGAAACUGACCUCCCCGUGAAGAGGCGGGGAUUAUUAUACAAGACGAGAAGACCCCAUGGAGCUUUAAACCCAAUAACAACCCACACUAAAUUUUUCUAAAUAAUAUUAAAGUAAUGUUUAUUGGUUUUAGGUUGGGGUGACCGCGGAGAAUAACUAAACCUCCACGAUGAAUGGACCUUAAUCCUAAUCUACGAGCUACUACUCCAAGAAUCAAUAAUUUGACCUAACAUGAUCCGACAAUCGAUCAACGAACCA
RNAcentral lists this ribosomal RNA (410 nucleotides) under Limnonectes cf. kuhlii 0066Y. RNAcentral describes it as "partial 16S ribosomal RNA". It matches the Rfam family "Bacterial large subunit ribosomal RNA", at positions 1834 to 2441 of the family's 2925-position model. Lineage: Eukaryota; Metazoa; Chordata; Amphibia; Anura; Dicroglossidae. The record is from RNAcentral.